CAAACACUCCUUCACUCUGGGACAUAAUUAGGACACUAACUCAAGGUCCCUGUGUUCUUCCUAUCUUGGCCUGCUAACAGGAUAUCAAGAGAUCUAGUUCUGCCUCAUGGAUUAAAAGGAAAGGGUCCCUACUCUCUUUUCUUCUUUCAUUUUUGUACUCCAGCAGAUCAGAAUAUCUAGCCAAGGUCUAAUCCUGCAUCUACUGAAGUCACAUGUGAUGUGCUCUUUCCUGGAGAUUUUGUUGUUGUUUCCUUUGUUCUCUGAAUAGAAAGUCAAGAUAUUUCUGACUAAUU
This is a long non-coding RNA of Dermochelys coriacea (leatherback sea turtle), 293 nucleotides long. RefSeq lists it as uncharacterized. The transcript is spliced from 3 exons. The record is from RefSeq and is a predicted model, not a curated record. Lineage: Eukaryota; Metazoa; Chordata; Testudines; Dermochelyidae.